Molecule: small nucleolar RNA, 104 nt
Organism: Talpa occidentalis (Iberian mole)
Lineage: Eukaryota; Metazoa; Chordata; Mammalia; Eulipotyphla; Talpidae
Product: small nucleolar RNA SNORD124
Exons: 1
Source: RefSeq, a predicted model, not a curated record
UGAUUACAAGGAAGGGAUGAUGUUUCAAUUAAGACCCAAGAAAAGGAUUCUGAGCCCCAGAGCUUUGAAGGAGCCGCUUGGUCUCUGACCUUCCUUAAGGCAAA